RNAcentral lists this non-coding RNA (222 nucleotides) under Proteiniborus sp. Its description in RNAcentral is "T-box sequence". It matches the Rfam family "T-box leader". Rfam says of the family: Uncharged tRNA acts as the effector for transcription antitermination of genes in the T-box leader family. T-boxes are found upstream of many aminoacyl-tRNA synthetase genes and some amino acid biosynthetic genes usually in Gram-positive bacteria. Lineage: Bacteria; Bacillati; Bacillota; Clostridia; Eubacteriales. The record is from RNAcentral.
AUAAAUAUUAUGAAUGGAAAGAGUAGUUAAAUCACUUAGUUAAAGAGAGUCGAUGUUGGUGGGAAUUCGAUACUAAUAUUUAGCGAAGACAUCCUGGAGUAGAUAUGUUGAAAACCAGUAGACAUAUACGUUAGCCAGCGUUAAUGGUAUAAAGCGGGAUAUUUAUCUUAUAAAUAUCCAAUAAGGGUGGUACCACGGGAAAUAACACCUCUCGUCCCUGUC